UCCCAUUGAUGAAGAAUUCCCAUUAAAAAUUGGAAGUGUCGUCUAACACUUUAUAUAGCAGAAUCGAAGGU
Molecule: non-coding RNA, 71 nt
Organism: Spinacia oleracea (spinach)
Lineage: Eukaryota; Viridiplantae; Streptophyta; Magnoliopsida; Caryophyllales; Amaranthaceae
Source: Rfam